Molecule: ribosomal RNA, 1328 nt
Filed under: metagenome
Description: bacterial SSU rRNA
Rfam family: Bacterial small subunit ribosomal RNA
Source: RNAcentral
AGAGUUUGAUCAUGGCUCAGAUUGAACGCUGGCGGCAGGCCUAACACAUGCAAGUCGAACGGUAACAGGAAGAAGCUUGCUACUUUGCUGACGAGUGGCGGACGGGUGAGUAAUGUCUGGGAAACUGCCUGAUGGAGGGGGAUAACUACUGGAAACGGUAGCUAAUACCGCAUAACGUCGCAAGACCAAAGAGGGGGACCUUCGGGCCUCUUGCCAUCGGAUGUGCCCAGAUGGGAUUAGCUAGUAGGUGGGGUAACGGCUCACCUAGGCAACGAUCCCUAGCUGGUCUGAGAGGAUGACCAGCCACACUGGAACUGAGACACGGUCCAGACUCCUACGGGAGGCAGCAGUGGGGAAUAUUGCACAAUGGGCGCAAGCCUGAUGCAGCCAUGCCGCGUGUAUGAAGAAGGCCUUCGGGUUGUAAAGUACUUUCAGCGGGGAGGAAGGGAGUAAAGUUAAUACCUUUGCUCAUUGACGUUACCCGCAGAAGAAGCACCGGCUAACUCCGUGCCAGCAGCCGCGGUAAUACGGAGGGUGCGAGCGUUAAUCGGAAUUACUGGGCGUAAAGCGCACGCAGGCGGUUUGUUAAGUCAGAUGUGAGAUCCCCGGGCUCAACCUGGGAACUGCAUCUGAUACUGGCAAGCUUGAGUCUCGUAGAGGGGGGUAGAAUUCCAGGUGUAGCGGUGAAAUGCGUAGAGAUCUGGAGGAUUACCGGUGGCGAAGGCGGCCCCCUGGACGAAGACUGACGCUCAGGUGCGAAAGCGUGGGGAGCAAACAGGAUUAGAUACCCUGGUAGUCCACGCCGUAAACGAUGUCGACUUGGAGGUUGUGCCCUUGAGGCGUGGCUUCCGGAGCUAACGCGUUAAGUCGACCGCCUGGGGAGUACGGCCGCAAGGUUAAAACUCAAAUGAAUUGACGGGGGCCCGCACAAGCGGUGGAGCAUGUGGUUUAAUUCGAUGCAACGCGAAGAACCUUACCUGGUCUUGACAUCCACAGAACUUUCCAGAGAUGGAUUGGUGCCUUCGGGAACUGUGAGACAGGUGCUGCAUGGCUGUCGUCAGCUCGUGUUGUGAAAUGUUGGGUUAAGUCCCGCAACGAGCGCAACCCUUAUCUUUUGUUGCCAGCGGUCCGGCCGGGAACUCAAAGGAGACUGCCAGUGAUAAACUGGAGGAAGGUGGGGAUGACGUCAGGUCAUCAUGGCCCUUACGACCAGGGCUACACACGUGCUACAAUGGCGCAUACAAAGAGAAGCGACCUCGCGAGAGCAAGCGGACCUCAUAAAGUGCGUCGUAGUCCGGAUUGGAGUCUGCAACUCGACUCCAUGGAGU